CAGUCGCCGCGGUAAUACAGAGGGUGCGAGCGUUAAUCGGAUUUACUGGGCGUAAAGCGUGCGUAGGCGGCUUUUUAAGUCGGAUGUGAAAUCCCUGAGCUUAACUUAGGAAUUGCAUUCGAUACUGGGAAGCUAGAGUAUGGGAGAGGAUGGUAGAAUUCCAGGUGUAGCGGUGAAAUGCGUAGAGAUCUGGAGGAAUACCGAUGGCGAAGGCAGCCAUCUGGCCUAAUACUGACGCUGAGGUACGAAAGCAUGGGGAGCAAACAGGAUUAGAGACCCCAGUAGUCCCUGUCUCUUAUAU
This 301-nucleotide ribosomal RNA is filed under the name uncultured bacterium. RNAcentral's name for it is "partial 16S ribosomal RNA". It matches the Rfam family "Bacterial small subunit ribosomal RNA", at positions 509 to 809 of the family's 1533-position model. The record is from RNAcentral.